Molecule: ribosomal RNA, 609 nt
Filed under: uncultured fungus
Lineage: Eukaryota; Fungi
Description: eukaryotic LSU rRNA
Rfam family: Eukaryotic large subunit ribosomal RNA
Source: RNAcentral
ACCCGCUGAAUUUAAGCAUAUCAAUAAGCGGAGGAAAAGAAACCAACAGGGAUUGCCUUAGUAACGGCGAGUGAAGCGGCAAAAGCUCAAAUUUGAAAUCGGCCCCCAGGUCGAGUUGUAAUUUGUAGAUUGUAUCUUGAGAGCGGAUUAAAGUCUGUUGGAACACAGCGCCUUAGAGGGUGACAGCCCCGUAAAAUCUAUUCUCAUUGUAAGAUACUUUCGAAGAGUCGAGUUGUUUGGGAAUGCAGCUCUAAGUGGGAGGUAAAUUCCUUCUAAAGCUAAAUAUUGACGAGAGACCGAUAGCGAACAAGUACUGUGAAGGAAAGAUGAAAAGCACUUUGAAAAGAGAGUGAAAAAGUACGUGAAAUUGUUAAAAGGGAAGGGUAUUGAAUUAGACUUGGUGCUGUUGUUCAACUGUGUUUCGGCAUAGUGUACUCAGCAGUACUAGGCCAAGGUGGGGUGUUUGGGAGUGAAAAAGAAGUAGGAAGGUAACUCUUCGGAGUGUUAUAGCCUACUUUCAUAGCUCCUCAGGCGCCUCAGGACUGCGCUUCGGCAAGGACCUUGGCAUAAUGAUUCUAUACCGCCCGUCUUGAAACACGGACCAAGGAG